Oncorhynchus keta (chum salmon) is the source of this 1911-nucleotide long non-coding RNA. RefSeq lists it as uncharacterized. The record is from RefSeq and is a predicted model, not a curated record. Lineage: Eukaryota; Metazoa; Chordata; Actinopteri; Salmoniformes; Salmonidae. The transcript is spliced from 2 exons.
UCUGUAAAAGCCAUGUCUGUAGGUCUCUGUGGUUCACUCUCUCUUUGUGUAUUGACCUCUCUUUUGUUUGAGCACCUCCAUAGCACUUUGUCAUCACCUAUGAAGGCUUCUCUGCCCAACCUAUCAGUAGGAACUAAGGAUUAUCUGUGCCCUGGAGACUUCAUGGUGGUAAAAGACUACAGAAGGAUGGAUCCUCAUUGAAGAGGACCAUAUCAGGUUUAGCUAUUUGGUCUGUCUGGAUCUGCACCAUUGUAUUGAUUGGAACAGUUGGUUGCCCUCCAGUGGGUGGCCGUUUAGGUGAAGAUGAAAGUCUCGAGCUAAAGGAAACGCCGCAGACCCGAAGUCGUGGUCCAGAAGGAGGUGUCAGCCGAAUGAAAAGAGAAGUAAAAAGUCAAGAUGAGGGAGGGAAUCUGUUCCACUCUCCAGCUGAAAUGGUGACAAAUGGCACCUCAUAAGACUUAUUAUUGGGUAUGUGUGUUGGGUCCUGUGGAAGUAGGUUAGGGUCUCCCAUAUGUAGGGGUUCCCUUGGGGGUGAACUUAUCUAUUUCACUGUCCCCAAAUACUGUCAUUGGCUACUUACCCCCCCAAGGGAUCCCAACCCUAUGACUUAUUUAGCAACCUGCAAUGCUUAUUUUAGCCUUGCAUGUCCUAAGCCAGACAAUUGCAGUGUCCCACCCAUCCCUAUAGUAGGAUCCCUGGUAGCCCUGGUAGCCCUGGUGUAUUAGAGGAAAUUAGAGUAACCAUUUGGGUGAACAUUUUUGUAACUGUACUAUGUUGGUUAAUGGUAGCAAUAACUGCUCUCUUGUAAUAUAUGAUUCUGUUACAGGAGCACAAUUUCUGUCUUUAAGUCUCUAUCACUGAAAGGAGACCCAAAUGGUACCUAUUGGUUGUGUGGUCGAUUUGCUUAUUAAAAGUGAACCACCUAAUUGGGGAGGGACGUGUACUCUUGGGUUUGUGGUGCCGGCCACGAGAGUUCUUGGAAACACUGAAACAGAAUUGGGGGUUCUGUUCAGGGACUGUUCAGGGACUGUUCAGCCGACUCUUAUCUUAAUAAGCGAUCCCUUGCAGAUGUCACUCAGGUGCAGACCUUCUUCUCCCGAUUCGCUGGUGUUUUGCUGUCCCAAUAUGGAGUUGCAUGUGCCUUUUUAAUGAAAUUUGAGAUUUGGCUAUUAACGUUGAGGAAAUGGGAUAUACUACUAGAGACACCUUUGGUUGCUCUGAAUGAGAAAGUAAAAGCACUCUGCAAGGUGGCCCUGCAAAACAGGGAGGCACUUGACUACUUAUUGGCUGGUCAUGGGGGUACUUGUGCACUCAUUGAUCGAUUGCUACACGUUUGUCCCAGAUGUGUUAUCAAAUGUGACUGAUCUUGCUAACUAUAUUGCCUAUGAUGCAAAGUCUCAUUCUGGGGAAUCAGAGUGGGUGUUUACUGGUUGGCAGAAAGUCCUCUUUGGAGCUUGGGGCUCCCAGAUAGCUCAUUGGGUGAUAGUUGGAAUCUUUUGUUUAAUGUGUUUGAUCAUUUUGCUUUCUUGUUGUAAGGUCAUUUGUACUUCCCUGGCAACUCAAGUCUCAGCAACUAUCAUGUUCAAGGCUACUAAAGAAGGUGAUACUGAUAACUUGCUGUCUCUCCAGGAACUCCCCUUUCCCCCUAUAAUAUGCCAGAAUGAGUUAGUAUCCAUGUUUGAUUAAGUACCUGAAGGUUUGAAGUUAUGUCAUUAAACGACAGCAACCAUAUAAUGUAAAAAAGGUAAAGAUGGACUUUUGCCUAUUGUUAUGCCUCUUGUAUGUAACAAUCAGUAUUUACUAAAUGCAUUCCUGUUGGUAGACUGAAUGUAUGUUAAGAAGUCAAAUACAUCUCUGUUAUCACAUAUGGUGAUAAAAGGAGGGAGUGUAGUGGACAUUUUUUGUCUCCUG